Molecule: long non-coding RNA, 801 nt
Organism: Papaver somniferum (opium poppy)
Lineage: Eukaryota; Viridiplantae; Streptophyta; Magnoliopsida; Ranunculales; Papaveraceae
Exons: 2
Source: RefSeq, a predicted model, not a curated record
AGAAAUCGAAAAACCAGAUGAAAGAUGUCGUGGAAAACGUUGAUAUGGAAGGAAAUCAUCUCACUUCUUCUACAAAUUGAGGUUGGAAAUAGGUUUGUUUGUUUGCUUGGAUUGGAUUGGAUUGAUCAAAAGGAGAUUUGAUGGGGUGGAUCUGAUUUUGUUGAUGUUAAUUUGUCGAUUUGGAAUCAUUUGAAAAAGGGAUUAUCAUACACGAAAUCACAGCGAGAAAAAAAAGAAGACUAUCUUUGUUGCUGCAAAGAUUGAAGAUUGGUUGUUUUUAACAAGAUUACUUGUUGAUGAUGGUAACGGGAUUUGGAAUCAUUUAAAAAGGGGAUUAUCAUACACGAACUCACAGCAAGAAAAAAACAGACUAUCUUUGUUGUUAUAAAGAUUGAAGAUCGGUUGUUUUUAAUGAUUACUUGUUGAUGAUGGUAACGGGAUUUUAACUAGUUUUUAUUAGGUUUCAUAACCAAUUGGGAUUCCAUCAAGGUUCAAAAGAGUUCAUAGGGUUCAAAAACUUGGAUUUAGUUGGGGUUCACUACAGGUUCAAAUGGGGUUUAAAGUGGUUCAAUUAGGUUUUCUUGGGGAUUUUAGUUUCAGAUAAUAAUAAUAACAAUGUUCGGUUGCGGUUUUGAAUCUAGGUUUGUAACGACGAUUUUUUGGGGAAGGAGAUGAACGAAAAAUUAAAGAAGAGGGGGAGAACAUAACGUUUCUCACCGAGGGUAAAUAUGUAAAUUCAAACUAUUUUUUUGAAAGAAAAUUAUAAAAAUAGAUAAUAAUAUAGUCAAAUGGAAACUUCAA